UACGGGGGGGGCAAGCGUUGUUCGGAAUUACUGGGCGUAAAGGGUCCGUAGGUGGCUCGCUAAGUCAGACGUGAAAUCCCUCGGCUUAACCGGGGAACUGCAUCUGAUACUGGAUGGCUUGAGUUCGGGAGAGGGAUGCGGAAUUCCAGGUGUAGCGGUGAAAUGCGUAGAUAUCUGGAGGAACACCGGUGGCGAAGGCGGCAGCCUGGACCGAUAUUGACGCUGAGGCGCGAAAGCCAGGGGAGCAAACGGG
RNAcentral lists this ribosomal RNA (253 nucleotides) under uncultured bacterium. RNAcentral's name for it is "partial 16S ribosomal RNA". It matches the Rfam family "Bacterial small subunit ribosomal RNA", at positions 524 to 776 of the family's 1533-position model. The record is from RNAcentral.